UACGAAGGGGGCUAGCGUUGUUCGGAAUUACUGGGCGUAAAGCGCACGUAGGCGGGCGAUUAAGUCAGGGGUGAAAUCCCGGAGCUCAACUCCGGAACUGCCUUUGAUACUGGUCGUCUCGAGAUCGGAAGAGGUGAGUGGAAUUCCCAGUGUAGAGGUGAAAUUCGUAGAUAUUGGGAAGAACACCAGUGGCGAAGGCGGCUCACUGGUCCGAUACUGACGCUGAGGUGCGAAAGCGUGGGGAGCAAACAGG
This 253-nucleotide ribosomal RNA is filed under the name uncultured bacterium. Its description in RNAcentral is "partial 16S ribosomal RNA". It matches the Rfam family "Bacterial small subunit ribosomal RNA", at positions 524 to 776 of the family's 1533-position model. The record is from RNAcentral.